GUUCUGGGCUUCUGGCUGCAUUCUAGGAAGAUCAUUCCUUAAAAGAAAUAGCCAUAUGGCUUAUAAGGUGCUAAAAGGAUAAUACCAAGGAAAACUAUGGGUGGGGGCAGUGAAUGGCCAGCAUGCCUAUAAUCCCAGCACUUGAAGCCAGGAGUUCGAGACCAGCCUGGGAAACAAAGCAAGACCCUGUGUCUAAAAAAAUUUUUUUAAAAAUAAGCUGGGCAUGGUGGCACGUGCCUAUAGUCCCAGCUACUCAGCUACUCGGGAGACCAAGACAUGGAAUAAACUUGACAAGUGCUAAAGAUGCUCUUUGAUUUUUGUGUGGCAUGAGACCUCAGGCUGAAACUUCUCAUCUGAGCCAUUGAAGGGAGCCUCUCAUCUCUCCACCGAGAGGGGAGACCAGAAUGCUCUGUUUCUGGCAGGAAUCUGACACCACUUACUCCUUGGGUAGAAACUCCCCCAAGUCUGAACUAUGUGAUUGCCUGAGCCCUGCUUCUUGUUCAUUAAGACUGCUCCUCUGAAACGGAAUUGAUGAAUUUUUAGUGGCUAUUAGAAGCAUUUGGGAUCCAUAGGCAUCAGGGUUUGAUGCAUGGCCCUCAUCUCUGUGGGCUCCUGUGCAAUGAUUCUCAUCUGUCUUAGUUAGAAAGUGAAUUAAUCUUGACCUUGGCCUCAGGGGUGUGGUUCUCUGCCCUCUUACACAUCUUCAAUUCGCUUCUUUAUCAGAAGCACUUGUUUUAGGCCCAGGCUCCCCCAAUUUUAAUGACAUUUAGACAUUUGUCUUUAAGUUACAUUGCUUUGAUUUUAAUCAAAAUCUAUAUUUCUAGUAUUAUAUGUUUCCAGAAAGUUCUCAUUCUGGAUUGUAAUUUAAUUACAUGGAUCAUUAAAGCUUUGAAGGAUGCUAAUGGG
RNAcentral lists this long non-coding RNA (906 nucleotides) under Homo sapiens (human). RNAcentral describes it as "DARS1 antisense RNA 1". Lineage: Eukaryota; Metazoa; Chordata; Mammalia; Primates; Hominidae. The record is from RNAcentral.